RNAcentral lists this ribosomal RNA (584 nucleotides) under Burkholderia ubonensis. Its description in RNAcentral is "bacterial LSU rRNA". It matches the Rfam family "Bacterial large subunit ribosomal RNA", at positions 812 to 1396 of the family's 2925-position model. The record is from RNAcentral. Lineage: Bacteria; Pseudomonadati; Pseudomonadota; Betaproteobacteria; Burkholderiales; Burkholderiaceae.
UGGAUAGGGGUGAAAGGCUAAACAAACCUGGAAAUAGCUGGUUCUCUCCGAAAACUAUUUAGGUAGUGCCUCGUGUCUCACCUUCGGGGGUAGAGCACUGUCAUGGUUGGGGGGUCUAUUGCAGAUUACCCCGCCAUAGCAAACUCCGAAUACCGAAGAGUGCAAUCACGGGAGACAGACAUCGGGUGCUAACGUCCGGUGUCAAGAGGGAAACAACCCAGACCGCCAGCUAAGGUCCCCAAAUAUGGCUAAGUGGGAAACGAAGUGGGAAGGCUAAAACAGUCAGGAGGUUGGCUUAGAAGCAGCCACCCUUUAAAGAAAGCGUAAUAGCUCACUGAUCGAGUCGUCCUGCGCGGAAGAUGUAACGGGGCUAAGCCAUAUACCGAAGCUGCGGAUGCGAGCUAGUCUCGCAUGGUAGGAGAGCGUUCCGUAAGCCUGCGAAGGUGCCUUGUAAAGGGUGCUGGAGGUAUCGGAAGUGCGAAUGCUGACAUGAGUAGCGAUAAAGGGGGUGAAAGGCCCCCUCGCCGUAAGCCCAAGGUUUCCUACGCAACGUUCAUCGGCGUAGGGUGAGUCGGCCCCUAAGG